CUUUUAUUAUGAUGUUUUUGCCCUACUUACAGGUUGGGUAAGUUUAACUAUAAUACAGUAAUUUAAUGUCCUUGAAUAUGAGUUGCUGUAAGAAUGGUUAUGUACUACCACUGAGCUGUAUUGAGAAUUUCAACUAUUUGUAUACAUUUGUGGUUAGUUCUUUGAUCUUACUUUCAAUUUUGAAUUGAGAAUAGCAUAAGAAACUUGUAAAAUUUCUCAGAUGUCCUUCUCUGGGUGACUAUGUUCAAGUCUCAAAAUUUGCUGAAGUUGUUUUGGGUCUCUCCUUUAAUCCCUAUGACCUUUGGAUCUGGUAAUAAGCACUUCAAGUUUUCCUGCAGUCUCUCUCUUCUUUCUUUGGCAUAAUGACAUACAUGGGGCAUGUCCUGAAGUGUUCUGGGAUCUAAAUGUUUUUGCAUAUAAAAAAAAUCUAUCUUUUCUGGAGAUGUCCUUAAAUUUUCAUUCUUUGCUUUGAAAAACCAUUUAAGCAUCAGGGUAUGACCCGGCUCCAACACACAUACUAAGACAGCUCAUCUCAGUGAGGUUUUUGAUGUAAACAUUCAUCAUAUAUAUAUAUGAAUACAAUUAUUUCUACUUUAUAGUGGCUAAAAAUACAACCUUUAAAACUGUCCUAAAAUGAUUAUUUCUUACAGUGAUGUAAAUCUCAGCAUUCAAAAUUCAAUUACCAUUUUUUUCUUUUUUUAAAAAAACAUAUUUCUCCAAAUACUUUCUUUGUGCAAAAAUAGUAUUACUUAUAAUUAGUAUUUACAUUAGAUUUACUACUUUUGAAUAUCAGGAGAUAUUGACUACACCUCCAAAUUCAGCAAGGGAUGUUCACUGUAAUUCUCUGCUGUUGAGCAUGUAACCUACAAUAGGGAGAUUGAGGGUUCACUGUAUAUUUUUUUGCUUCAGACAGUAUGUUUCUCUCACAGUUGGACCCAAUUGAAUUCCAUUCUCCUGUAGGACUUCAGGGAACACUGGCUGGAGUUGUUAGAAUAGUGUUUGUUUUAGAAGUAUAUUCUGUCUUUAGAUCCGUACACUGGGUUUCCACUGAGGUUGUUAUAUGUCCACUGAAACUAAUAGAAAAUCUCUGUAUGAUGCUUUAACUUCAAGUGGAUAACGAAUCUGGUUUCCUAAGAGACCGCUUCUUUUGGGCUGCCAUAUUUCUACAACUUAUAAAAUCAAAUACUCUCAAGCAGGACGCUGGUGGAGUUGUUCCUCAUGAGGAGGGGUCAGCAAAAUGCCAACUCCCUGCAGGAUUUUUCUUCCCACUUGGCUUGCAGUAUUUGCACUGGCUUGUGCCCACCUUCCUACCAUCUAUCUUUCAUACUUUCUCCUUGUGGCAUACAAAUUUGGGAUUGGCAUUAAGAGUGCUUGAUCUUGCCUCAAAAUAAGAUAUGAUACAAAUCUAAUGACUAAGGCAACCCUGCAAUCCAUUUUUUCUCAUCAACUUUGAAGAAUUGAGUACGUUUGUGUUUUGACGUUUUGAAAGUAGCAUGCCUGUUACUGCUCUGUGCUUCUGAGGAGCAAGCUUCAAGAACACAGGAGUAAAAUAUGCACUAAUUAAUAAAAAUAAUAAGAAGUUAGGUCUACAAAGUUUUGGUAGUAUCUAACAAGUUUUGCUUAUAAUGUGAUAUUAUUCAUUCUCAUUAUACACCUUCCUAUCAGGGCAGCAAUGAAUUUGUCCCCAGGCAUUUCCCUGCUGUGUUGAUCAAAUCCAGGCAUUGCAUGCAAAUACAAGGUAUGCUUAGGAGUUGCAAAACAUAGUCUGUGGCUGCUUGUUUCUGACCCUGGCAUCUGGGUGAUUGGCUCCAUCCUCCUCUCUGACCUCUUGUCCAGCUUCACUGCUCAACACUGUAGCAGCUGCGAAAGUGUCCACAGGGGCUGGCAAAGGGUUAGAUGGCUGCUGGGUAAUUAUGCAGAUGUGGCUGUCAGGAAUUUAGCUCCCUGUUUGAUGUCUGGGUACAGUACAGCAAAACAACAUUCUGAUUUUUUUUCUUUUUUUUUUCACAGUCUCUCUCUGCAGACUGCACACUUGUAAUGGUUUUAAAAGACUGCCCAAAGGUAUUUUCUUGGAAAAUAAAGAAAAAAAAAACCACUCAUGCUUGGGCCCCUGGGCCGGUGUACACCGGUGCUGCUGUUACACACAUUGUAUUUGUGGGACAGUGACAUAAGGGAGGUUACACUUCAGAACUAUAGGGUGCAGUUUUGAUCAUUGUGUCUCAAAAAAUAAAUAAGGACACCAAAAAAAAAAAAAACCCUGUAUUUUUCCUCCAGAUAAAAAUAUUAUAUUUUCUUAGUCUUGGGAUAGUGACAAAUUAAUCCACUCUUUCCCAUUUUCUAUUAUUAACAGAAAUGAGUCUACCAAAGUCUAUAAGCAGACAGGAUUGUUCCUGUCUCCUCUACCAUUUUUAUAACAAUGUUGGCAGAUCUACUGCACAAACCUACACCACAAAGUACAGCACAACCACUGAGCUAUUAAAUCUGCCACAAAACCAGUUGGUUUUGAGUACAUGUAGUAAUAUAGCUGUACGAGCCCCAGAACAUACUGCAGCCUGAAAUGCCACUGAGCGUGGGAGCAGUGGUAUCACAAUCCUGUGGUAUGCAUGUGGGAGCCAUGGCAGGAGGGAGCCUACUGGAGAAGUUUGUCUGUGUUUAUGAAGACUGGUGCAUGCUCGCAGAAGUGAUGAGUGUGUUGUUCCUCAUCAAAAAGUUUCUGUUUGAAAGGAGAACACUGAAAACUGGCAUACUGUCAGAAGGUGGUUUUCUGAUGGCAAUAUUAUAAUAAUGUUGACUUUUAAUUAAGUGAAGUUGACAUAUUUUAAGUCUGCAGAUUAACCAUCUGUUGUUGCAUUAAUGAAUAUCCUUCAUAGCAUCGGUUCAUGACCCAUGUUUUGUUAUGUUUUUCUUUUUUCUUUUUUUUUAAUUCCCCUAGACAGCUUUCUGAAACGUAUACUUGUUGAUUAAGGCAUGAAAUGUUGGCCAGAAUCAAUUUGGAUGAGGCAUUUACCCACUGCUGGGAAAUGAACUUUGUGCACAGGAUUGUAUUUUCCAUAUUUCUGCUUUCCUUCAUGGUUAAAAUGUUUCCAAGCAAGAAUUUUUGAUAGUUGUCAUCACUGUGCCAAAUAACCUCCUUUAAGCAGCUCCUUCUGAUUUAUGGAUUGUGAGGAAUCCCUGUUAGUGUAUGUUAUGCAUAGAAAAUUAAACUUGGGAAUGCUUCUUUUUAUUUAUAAAGGUGGGAUAUUUCAAAUGAGUGUGUUAUCUUAAGCAUGAGAUCUUCGUGUAUGUGAUUUGUAUAUUGAAUUUUUAUCUUCAACACCAGAUGUAUUGUGCAUAAAACAAAUAUUGUUUUGUAA
RNAcentral lists this long non-coding RNA (3353 nucleotides) under Gallus gallus (chicken). The record is from RNAcentral. Lineage: Eukaryota; Metazoa; Chordata; Aves; Galliformes; Phasianidae.